RNAcentral lists this ribosomal RNA (492 nucleotides) under uncultured bacterium. Its description in RNAcentral is "partial 16S ribosomal RNA". It matches the Rfam family "Bacterial small subunit ribosomal RNA", at positions 29 to 507 of the family's 1533-position model. The record is from RNAcentral.
AGUGAACGCUGGCGGUAGGCCUAACACAUGCAAGUCGAACGGCAGCACAGUAAGAGCUUGCUCUUACGGGUGGCGAGUGGCGGACGGGUGAGGAAUACAUCGGAAUCUACUUUUUCGUGGGGGAUAACGUAGGGAAACUUACGCUAAUACCGCAUACGACCUACGGGUGGAAGCAGGGGAUCUUCGGACCUUGCGCGAUUGAAUGAGCCGAUGUCGGAUUAGCUAGUUGGCGGGGCAAAGGCCCACCAAGGCGACGAUCCGUAGCUGGUCUGAGAGGAUGAUCAGCCACACUGGAACUGAGACACGGUCCAGACUCCUACGGGAGGCAGCAGUGGGGAAUAUUGGACAAUGGGCGCAAGCCUGAUCCAGCCAUACCGCGCGGGUGAAGAAGGCCUUCGGGUUGUAAAGCCCUUUUGUUGGGAAAGAAAAGCAGCAGGUUAAUACCCCGCUGUUCUGACGGUACCCAAAGAAUAAGCACCGGCUAACUUCGUG